Molecule: long non-coding RNA, 878 nt
Organism: Ostrea edulis (European flat oyster)
Lineage: Eukaryota; Metazoa; Mollusca; Bivalvia; Ostreida; Ostreidae
Exons: 3
Source: RefSeq, a predicted model, not a curated record
CGUUUUAAACUUUGGUUAUCAGAUGCCUUUGGUUACUACACCGGGACAUAUUGUAUUGCAGAACGACAAAUCUGCUGUUAACAAUGAGCAGUUUGUGUCCAAAGAAAUCAAAAAGAUAGUAGAGAAAGGUUGUAUUCUGAAAGUAAAUAAAAAUACCAAGGACAGUAAACCCGUUGGCGGUAGCAGUCAAACAUAAUUUCGCAUCAAGGAGAACAAAUGGCUUUGACAUAACAAAGAAAUGACAAUAUUCGUUAAAAAUAGCAUGGUACCAGGAGAGCUAGAUGCCUAUAUUCCCAACAAUAUGAGCCAGUCCGAAAGAGAGUCUACAACAGGUGCAAUACAGCUCAUUAAAAAUGUUUUGAGAAAAGAUUUGUCAGAUAAUGUCGUGUAUCAUGAUCAACAGUUAAGGUCAUCACAGAUAGACCAAAGCUGACAUGGAAUGAAAUAGUAAAACGAGACAUAGAGUUUACAGGAUUGGAUAGGAUCAAUCCACUUGGUCACCAAGUAUAGAAAAACAAAUUUCGACCUCAACAGGACACCCAGCCCUAACCCCUCCGAAAGGAUUAAUUUGGCCUGGAUAAUCAAAAUGGAGUUUUGAGAUUGAUCGCUGUUCGUUAUCUUCACCUUUCAUGAUGAUGGAAGCUCAGUGAAGGUAGAUGCUGGCAAUGAAGCUCUUUAGCAAUAGAACAAACAGGCUUAACAUUAAGGAUAUGCGGGACGAUGAUCACGUGAUGGUUGCAAAUUUAUUAUAAAUUUAGAACCGGACGCAGCGUAGUUAAGCUUCCCGAGAAAAAUCCCAAUACUGUACAGACACACUAUACGACGUCAUAAUAAAAAAGUACGUCACGACGUUGCAUCGCGGGGAAAAUGUCAUCAUA